AGAGUUUGAUCCUGGCUCAGGACGAACGCUGGCGGCGUGCUUAACACAUGCAAGUCGAACGGAAAGGCCCUUCGGGGUACUCGAGUGGCGAACGGGUGAGUAACACGUGGGUGAUCUGCCCUGCACUUUGGGAUAAGCCUGGGAAACUGGGUCUAAUACCGAAUAUGACCAUGCACUUCCUGGUGUGUGGUGGAAAGCUUUUGCGGUGUGGGAUGGGCCCGCGGCCUAUCAGCUUGUUGGUGGGGUAAUGGCCUACCAAGGCGACGACGGGUAGCCGGCCUGAGAGGGUGACCGGCCACACUGGGACUGAGAUACGGCCCAGACUCCUACGGGAGGCAGCAGUGGGGAA
This 349-nucleotide ribosomal RNA is filed under the name uncultured bacterium. RNAcentral's name for it is "bacterial SSU rRNA". It matches the Rfam family "Bacterial small subunit ribosomal RNA", at positions 8 to 361 of the family's 1533-position model. The record is from RNAcentral.